CUGAUGUCCAUCUUGAUCCUGGGUGUCCACAUUAGGCCUGAUGUCCAACUGGGGCCUCGGUACCCACUGGGGGCUUCUGGUUAACCUGGGGACUGGUGUCAAUCUGGGGCCUAAUGACCACCUGGGUUGUAUUAUUCACCUAGGGCCUGGUGUCCACUUGGGGCUUGAGUGUAACCUUGGACCUGGCACCCACAUAGGACUUGGGUAUCAGACUGGCCCCUUGGUGUCCAGUUAAGACAUCAUGUGAACCUGGCGCCUGAGUGUCCACAUGGGGCCAAAUGACUACUGGGGGCCUGAAUGUCAACCUAGAAUCUGAGGUUUACUAGGGGUCUAGGUAUCCACCUGGGGCCUAAUGUCCACCUGAGCCUGGGUGUCAACCUGGGGCCUGAUGUAAACCUCUAGUUCAGUGUCCACCUUGGGCUUGAUGUCAACCUGAAGCCUGAUGUCCACCUGAGUACUGAUGUUCACCUUUGACCUGAUGUCCACCUGUGGACUCUUUGUCCACCCAUGGCCCGAUGUUCACAUGGGGCUGAAUGUCCAACUGUGACCUGUUGUGCACCUGGAACCUGGGCAUCCACCUGCGGCCUGAUGUUCAGCUGGGCUGGGACCCGGAGUUCACCUGAGGCAUGAUGUCCACCUGAAGCUUGAUGUUCAUCUGAGGGCUGGGUGUCCACCUGGGGCCCGAUAUCCACCUGGAGACUAGGUACCCACCUGGGAUCUGGUGUUCACUUGAGAUUGGUGUUUAGCUGUGGCCUAAUGACCACCUGGGUCAUGGUGUCUACCUUGGACUGGGUGCUCACCUGGAGCCAGUGUUCACCGGGGGCCUAGUGUGCACCUGAGACUGAGGGAUGCACCUGGGGCCUCCUGUCUACCUGGUGCCUAGUUAUCCACUUGGGGCCUAAUGUUCAUCUGGAAUCUGAUAUCCACCUGGGGCCUUGUAAUUACCUGGGAUCUGGGCAUCCACCUAGGGCUUGAGUAUCCUCCUGGGGCCUUGAGUUUUACUGGAGACUCGUGUCUGCCUUGGACCUGGGUGUACAUCUGUUGCCUAAUGCACACCUUGAGAGUGAUGUCAACCUGGGGACACAUGUCCUCUUGGGGUCUGAGUGUGCACCUGGUGCCUGAUGUCUGCCUGGGGACUUGUGUUCACCUGAGACCUGAUAUCCACCUGGGGCCUGGACGUCCACGAGGGGCUGAUGUUCAGCUGGAGACUGGAUAUCCACCUGGGGCUUAGGGAUCCACCCAGAAACUGAUGUCAAACUGGGGUCUGAUGUCUACCUGGGGACUAGGUAUCCAUGUGAGGCUUGAUGUUCAUCCAUGGCCAGACGUCCAUCUGAUGCUUGAUGUCCACCUUAGUCCUGGGUCUCUACUGGAGACCUCAUGUCGAACUAGAGCUUAGGAACCUACUGGGGGCCUCAUGUACACCUGGGGACUGGUAUGCAGCUGGGUCCUAAUGAUCCCCUGGGUCAUAUUAUUCACCUAGGGCCUGGUGUCCACUUGGGGCUUGAGUGUCAACCUUAGGUCUUGUGUUCAUCUUUGACCUGGUGUCCACCGGGGACUUGGGUAUCAACCUGAGGACUUGGUGUCCAAUUGAGGUGUCAUGACCACCUGGGGAUUGAAUGUCAAUCUGGGGCCUGAUGUAAACCUCUAGUUCAGUAUCCACCUGGGGCCAGAUGUCUUCCUAGAGACUUAUAUUCACUUUUGACCUGAUGUCUACCUGGGGACUUGCUAUCCCUCCAUGGUCUGAUAUUCACCUGGGGACAGAUGUUCAACUGUGGUCAGAAGUGCUCCUGGGGUCUGGGCUUCCACCUGGAGCCUGAUGUUUAGCUGGGGCUAGAGUUCACAUGGAGAAUGAUGUCCACCUGAAGUUUGAUGUUUACCUGGGACCUGAUACCUACCUGGUGCCCAAGUAUUCUCAUGUGCCUAACGUCCACUAGUUGGCCUGGUGUUCAUCUGAGGGCUUGGUGUCAAUCAGUGGCUUUAUGUACACCUGGAUUCUAGUGUCCUCCUGGGGCCUUAUGCCUACCAGGAGUCUGGUGUACCCCUGGGGUCUAGUGUCCACCUGGAGUCUGGGUGUCCACCUGGAGCCUAAUGUUGAGGUUAGACUGAGUGUCAGCUUGAGGCCUGAUGUCUACUUAGGGCAUAGGUAUUCAUCUGGGGCUUGUUGUUUACCUGGGGACUAAUGUCAACCUUGAGCCUAGGUAUCCACCUGGGGAAUAGUGUCCAGUUGCAGCCAGAUGUCCACCUAUGGCCUGAAGCAUGGUCGUUAUCCUAAGACCUUGUCCGUUUUCACACUGUUAUAAAAAACUACCUGAUUUUGGGCAACUUAUGAGGAAAAGAGGUUUAACUGACCCACAGUUCUUUAGGCUUAAUAGGGAGAAUGACUGGGCGGGCUCGGGCCACUUACAAUCAUGAUGUAAAGCCAAGAGGAAGCAAGCCCUUUUUACCAUGGGAGAGGAGGAGGGAGAGAGAAGGGGGAUGUGCUACACACUUUCAAAUAACCAGAUCUCGUAAGAACUCUAUCACGAGAACAGCAAGUGGGAAGUCUGCCCCCAUGAUUCAAUCACCUCUCACCAG
Molecule: long non-coding RNA, 2574 nt
Filed under: Homo sapiens (human)
Lineage: Eukaryota; Metazoa; Chordata; Mammalia; Primates; Hominidae
Description: HSALNT0305867
Source: RNAcentral